CCUACGGGGGGCUGCAGUAGGGAAUCUUCCACAAUGGGCGAAAGCCUGAUGGAGCAACGCUGCGUGGGUGAAGAAGGUCUUCGGAUCGUAAAACCCUGUUGUCAGAGAAGAAAGUGCGUGAGUGUAACUGUUCACGUUUCGACGGUAUCUAACCAGAAAGCCCCGGCUAACUACGUGCCAGCAGCCGCGGUAAUACGUAGGUGGCAAGCGUUAUCCGGAUUUAUUGGGCGUAAAGGGAAUGCAGGCGGGCGUUUAAGUCUGAUGUGAAAGCCUUCGGCUUAACCGGAGUAGUGCAUUGGAAACUGGGAGACUUGAGUGCAGGAGAGGAGAGUGGAACUCCAAGUGUAGCGGUGAAAUGCGUAGAUAUAUGGAAGAACACCAGUGGCGAAGGCGGCUCUCUGGUCUGUAACUGACGCUGAGGUUCGAAAGCGUGGGGAGCAAACAGGAUUAGAUACCCUAGUAGUC
This 465-nucleotide ribosomal RNA is filed under the name uncultured bacterium. Its description in RNAcentral is "partial 16S ribosomal RNA". It matches the Rfam family "Bacterial small subunit ribosomal RNA", at positions 338 to 795 of the family's 1533-position model. The record is from RNAcentral.